RNAcentral lists this unclassified non-coding RNA (217 nucleotides) under Paraglomus occultum. RNAcentral's name for it is "partial contains 5.8S ribosomal RNA and internal transcribed spacer 2". The stretch from base 1 to 65 matches the Rfam family "5.8S ribosomal RNA", at positions 84 to 154 of the family's 154-position model. Lineage: Eukaryota; Fungi; Glomeromycota; Glomeromycetes; Paraglomerales; Paraglomeraceae. The record is from RNAcentral.
GUGAAUCAUCGAAUCUUUGAACGCAAAUUGCGCCUUUUUCGGAAGGCAUGUCUGUUUGAGGGCACCAUUUAACAAAUAAUGUGCAUUUCGUGUGCACACGUUGAUGAGCUUUCCAAAAUUAUGUAUUAUUAUUUUUGGUGGCGCAUAAUAAACAGCGCGAUGCUUUUUUUAGUUCGUAUGUGGUUAAAUUUUUUUUUGGUUUGGUUGCUGAAAGCCU